GUGAAGAAGGUUUUCGGAUCGUAAAACUCUGUUAUUAGGGAAGAACAAAUGCGUAAGUAACUGUGCGCAUCUUGACGGUACCUAAUCAGAAAGCCACGGCUAACUACGUGCCAGCAGCCGCGGUAAUACGUAGGGCGCAAGCGUNUCCCUUAAGUCUGAUGUGAAAGCCCACGGCUCAACCGUGGAGGGUCAUUGGAAACUGGGGGACUUGAGUG
RNAcentral lists this ribosomal RNA (215 nucleotides) under Rothia kristinae. RNAcentral describes it as "partial 16S ribosomal RNA". It matches the Rfam family "Bacterial small subunit ribosomal RNA", at positions 405 to 648 of the family's 1533-position model. The record is from RNAcentral. Lineage: Bacteria; Bacillati; Actinomycetota; Actinomycetes; Micrococcales; Micrococcaceae.